RNAcentral lists this ribosomal RNA (497 nucleotides) under uncultured bacterium. Its description in RNAcentral is "partial 16S ribosomal RNA". It matches the Rfam family "Bacterial small subunit ribosomal RNA", at positions 28 to 507 of the family's 1533-position model. The record is from RNAcentral.
GAUGAACGCUGGCGGCGUGCCUAAUACAUGCAAGUCGAGCGAUCAGACGAGGAGCUUGCUCCUCUGACGUUAGCGGCGGACGGGUGAGUAACACGUGGAUAACCUACCUAUAAGACUGGGAUAACUUCGGGAAACCGGAGCUAAUACCGGAUAAUAUAUUGAACCGCAUGGUUCAAUAGUGAAAGACGGUUUUGCUGUCACUUAUAGAUGGAUCCGCGCCGCAUUAGCUAGUUGGUAAGGUAACGGCUUACCAAGGCAACGAUGCGUAGCCGACCUGAGAGGGUGAUCGGCCACACUGGAACUGAGACACGGUCCAGACUCCUACGGGAGGCAGCAGUAGGGAAUCUUCCGCAAUGGGCGAAAGCCUGACGGAGCAACGCCGCGUGAGUGAUGAAGGUCUUCGGAUCGUAAAACUCUGUUAUUAGGGGAGAACAAAUGUGUAAGUAACUAUGCACGUCUUGACGGUACCUAAUCAGAAAGCCACGGCUAACUACGUG